RNAcentral lists this unclassified non-coding RNA (326 nucleotides) under Shewanella putrefaciens. Lineage: Bacteria; Pseudomonadati; Pseudomonadota; Gammaproteobacteria; Alteromonadales; Shewanellaceae. The record is from RNAcentral.
CCUAUACGACUAGCUCGAUGCUUUUGAGUGUUCACACAGAUUGCUUGUUUAUCCUGUCUUAGGACGGGUAGAGCGAAACAUCCCUCUAGCAGGUCGAUGUAGUUCUUUAACAAUUUGGAAAGCUGAUAGUAUUAAACACAAUGAUGUCUGUCGUUGUGUUGAUACGAAAAAAGUUUAAUGCGAAAGCAUUAAACAUUGAGUUCUCAAACACUUUAUUAAGUGUCUUGAAUAUUCAAGUCUAAGGCGCGUCCACUUCUUUGGUUAGAAGUGAGACAAGUAAAACCAGCUGGUCGCAACAAUUCAAGUGAAACUCAUUUGGGUUGUAU